GGUAACAUAAUCACUUGGCCCCUAAAUANGGACUAGCAUGAACGGCUUAANGAAGAUNACACUGUCUCUUANAAUUAACCUAUGAAACUGAUCUUGUAGUCCAAAAGCUCCNAUAAAAACACCCCACCAGAAGACCCUGUGGAACUUCAAAACCAAAACCAAACUAAUGACCCUUUGGUUUUUAGUUGGGGCAACUUCGGAGCAUAUACUAACCUCCGAUAAAAUAAAUCAAGACAAACAAGUCAAAAUAAUUNCCUUGACCCAAUUAGUCCUUACCUUAGACUAUUUGAUUAAUGAACCAAGUUACCCCAGGGAUAACAGCGCUAUCCCCUUUUAGAGUCCCUAUCGACAAGGGGGCUUACGACCUCGAUGUUGGAUCAGGACACCCCAAUAAUGCAGCCGUUAUUAAAGGUUCGUUUGUUCAACGAUUAAAGUCCUACGUGAUCUGAGUU
This 452-nucleotide ribosomal RNA is filed under the name Mesalina brevirostris. RNAcentral describes it as "partial 16S ribosomal RNA". It matches the Rfam family "Bacterial large subunit ribosomal RNA", at positions 1955 to 2611 of the family's 2925-position model. Lineage: Eukaryota; Metazoa; Chordata; Lepidosauria; Squamata; Lacertidae. The record is from RNAcentral.